CACAAUCUCACUCACAUGAUCAUCACCUUAAUUCAGAAUCAUCAACCUCUUCUUCUUUGUCUUCACAACCAAGUCUACCUUCUGUUCCUUCUCUCACCUCACAACCUUCUCAACAAUCUCACUCACAUGAUCAUCACCUUAAUUCAGAAUCAUCAACCUCUUCUUCUCUGUCUUCACAACCAAGUCUACCUUCUGUUCCUUCUCUCACCUCACAACCUUCUCAACAAUCUCAAACCACACAUCACCAACUUCUAACAACCAUCAAAGGCCACAAUUCUCCUAUCUUCUCCCUAACUCUUCACUCCAAAUUCCUCUAUAGUGCAUCUUCCAAUAGUGAAAUAAGAAGGUUUAACA
RNAcentral lists this long non-coding RNA (354 nucleotides) under Cicer arietinum (chickpea). RNAcentral describes it as "long non-coding RNA (CARI_LNC001794)". The record is from RNAcentral. Lineage: Eukaryota; Viridiplantae; Streptophyta; Magnoliopsida; Fabales; Fabaceae.